RNAcentral lists this long non-coding RNA (265 nucleotides) under Elaeis guineensis (African oil palm). RNAcentral's name for it is "long non-coding RNA (EGUI_LNC059614)". Lineage: Eukaryota; Viridiplantae; Streptophyta; Magnoliopsida; Arecales; Arecaceae. The record is from RNAcentral.
CCUGGAAAAGGAUGACCUCGAAGCCUCCCAUAAACUUACGACUUAUCCAACUCCUCUCCUCUCCGACCUUCUGAAGGAGCAACUUUUAUUUAAUGUCAGCAUGAGCCCUCUCAACCCUGUCGAUAUUUUUUUUUAUGUCAUUCGCUGCUUCCUCUUUCUCUUAUUCUGUUUUUAAGCCGUGCCGAUCUUCUUUCAUUGCAGAUAUGGAUGCAGACGCGGCUCGGAUGCUAGCCAAGGGUCUUAAGGCCCACAAGAGGAAAGGUGC